CGGCGGACGGGUGAGUAACGCGUGGGUAACCUACCCUGUACACACGGAUAACAUACCGAAAGGUAUGCUAAUACGGGAUAAUAUAUUUGAGAGGCAUCUCUUGAAUAUCAAAGGUGAGCCAGUACAGGAUGGACCCGCGUCCGAUUAGCUAGUUGGUAAGGUAACGGCUUACCAAGGCGACGAUCAGUAGCCGACCUGAGAGGGUGAUCGGCCACAUUGGAACUGAGACACGGUCCAA
Molecule: ribosomal RNA, 238 nt
Filed under: uncultured bacterium
Lineage: Bacteria
Description: partial 16S ribosomal RNA
Rfam family: Bacterial small subunit ribosomal RNA
Source: RNAcentral